GACAAGUAAUGAAGUAUACAAUUACUUCACUUUCGGAGUUCUGAAUUUUCAGAAAUGAUGAUUCAGAAUUCGAAAGUGAGGUAAAAUGAGGGAUAGAUAAGUAGAAAGCAUUGAGAAUUU
Molecule: microRNA precursor, 120 nt
Filed under: Caenorhabditis remanei
Lineage: Eukaryota; Metazoa; Nematoda; Chromadorea; Rhabditida; Rhabditidae
Source: RNAcentral